Molecule: ribosomal RNA, 465 nt
Filed under: uncultured bacterium
Lineage: Bacteria
Description: partial 16S ribosomal RNA
Rfam family: Bacterial small subunit ribosomal RNA
Source: RNAcentral
GACGAACGCUGGCGGCGUGCUUAACACAUGCAAGUCGAACGGAAAGGCCCUGCUUGCAGGGUACUCGAGUGGCGAACGGGUGAGUAACACGUGGGUGAUCUGCCCUGCACUUCGGGAUAAGCCUGGGAAACUGGGUCUAAUACCGGAUAGGAGCCAUUUUUAGUGUGAUGGUUGGAAAGUUUUUUCGGUGUAGGAUGAGCUCGCGGCCUAUCAGCUUGUUGGUGGGGUAAUGGCCUACCAAGGCGGCGACGGGUAGCCGGCCUGAGAGGGUGGACGGCCACAUUGGGACUGAGAUACGGUCCAGACUCCUACGGGAGGCAGCAGUGGGGAAUAUUGCACAAGGGGCGCAAGCCUGAUGCAGCGACGCCGCGUGGGGGAGGACGGCCUUCGGGUUGUAAACUCCUUUCGCUAGGGACGAAGCUUUUUGUGACGGUACCUAGAUAAGAAGCACCGGCUAACUACGUG